CUCUUAUCAAGAGAGGUGGAGGGAAGAGCCCUAUGAAGCCCGGCAACCUGUCUUACGACAAGGUGCUAAUUCUCGCAGAAGUUUACUUCUGAAAGAUGAGGG
This 102-nucleotide non-coding RNA is filed under the name Thermoanaerobacterium saccharolyticum. RNAcentral's name for it is "SAM-I sequence". It matches the Rfam family "SAM riboswitch aptamer (S box leader)". Rfam says of the family: The SAM riboswitch is found upstream of a number of genes which code for proteins involved in methionine or cysteine biosynthesis in Gram-positive bacteria. The SAM riboswitch acts at the level of transcription termination control. Lineage: Bacteria; Bacillati; Bacillota; Clostridia; Thermoanaerobacterales; Thermoanaerobacteraceae. The record is from RNAcentral.